This 498-nucleotide unclassified non-coding RNA is filed under the name Vishniacozyma dimennae. RNAcentral's name for it is "sequence contains ITS1, 5.8S rRNA gene and ITS2". The stretch from base 163 to 316 matches the Rfam family "5.8S ribosomal RNA". The record is from RNAcentral. Lineage: Eukaryota; Fungi; Basidiomycota; Tremellomycetes; Tremellales; Bulleribasidiaceae.
CCCUUAGAGGAAGUAAAAGUCAUAACAAGGUUUCCGUAGGUGAACCUGCGGAAGGAUCAUUAUUGAAUUUGGCCUUUGGCCUUAUACACAUAAUAUAACACUGUGAACCGUGGCUUCGGCCCAAACUAUAAGUCUUGAAUGUAAUAUAUCAUAACAAAAUACAACUUUUAACAACGGAUCUCUUGGCUCUCGCAUCGAUGAAGAACGCAGCGAAAUGCGAUAAGUAAUGUGAAUUGCAGAAUUCAGUGAAUCAUCGAAUCUUUGAACGCACCUUGCGCCCUCUGGUAUUCCGGAGGGCAUGCCUGUUUGAGUGUCAUGAACACCUCACCCCCUCGGGUUUCCGAUUGGGUGGAUUUGGGUGCUGCCAGUUACAUGGCUCGCCUUAAACGCAUUAGCGGUUGUUGACGUAAUAAGUUUCGUCUUGUCGACCGCUUCUAAUCUCCUUCGGGAUGUCUUUCGGGACACUUCAUGAUCUGACCUCAAAUCAGGUAGAYACCC